Molecule: ribosomal RNA, 242 nt
Filed under: uncultured bacterium
Lineage: Bacteria
Description: partial 16S ribosomal RNA
Rfam family: Bacterial small subunit ribosomal RNA
Source: RNAcentral
UGACGAGCGGCGGACGGGUGAGUAAUGUCUGGGAAACUGCCUGAUGGCGGGGGAUAACUAGUGGAAACGGUAGCUAAUACCGCAUAACGUCGCAAGACCAAAGUGGGGGACCUUCGGGCCUCACGCCAUCAGAUGUGCCCAGGUGGGAUUAGCUGGUAGGUGGGGUAACGGCUCACCUAGGCGACGAUCCCUAGCUGGUCUGAGAGGAUGACCAGCCACACUGGAACUGAGACACGGUCCAG